RNAcentral lists this ribosomal RNA (494 nucleotides) under uncultured bacterium. RNAcentral describes it as "partial 16S ribosomal RNA". It matches the Rfam family "Bacterial small subunit ribosomal RNA", at positions 28 to 507 of the family's 1533-position model. The record is from RNAcentral.
GACGAACGCUGGCGGCGUGCUUAACACAUGCAAGUCGAACGGUGAAGCGCCUUCCUUUUUGGUGGGUGUGGAUGAGUGGCGAACGGGUGAGUAACACGUGAGUAACCUGCCCCCUUCUUCUGGAUAACCGCAUGAAAGUGUGGCUAAUACGGGAUAUUCUGGGUCUGUCGCAUGAUGGGUCUGGGAAAGAUAUUGUUUCGGUGGGGGAUGGGCUCGCGGCCUAUCAGCUUGUUGGUGGGGUGAUGGCCUACCAAGGCGGUGACGGGUAGCCGGCCUGGGAGGGUGGACGGUCACACUGGGACUGAGACACGGCCCAGACUCCUACGGUAGGCAGCAGUGGGGAAUAUUGCACAAUGGGCGCAAGCCUGAUGCAGCGACGCCGCGUGAGGGAUGGAGGCCUUCGGGUUGUGAACCUCUUUCGCCAGUGAAGCAGGCCUGCCUCGUUUGUGGGUGGGUUGACGGUAGCUGGAUAAGAAGCGCCGGCUAACUACGUG